AUUUUAGGAGUGUAAUAGUGGUAACCCAUUGCAGUGUUUAUAAAAUCACAUUUGCUUUGUUAUCACAGCGGCGUUGUUAUAUUAUCUAAUAUUAAAAAAAACUAAGUUUUUAGACAAGAUAGCAGGAGAGACUGAUGACUUGCUGAAAACAUUUAUUUACGUAUAUUGUUAAUUAGAUUAGAAGACUUGACAAUUACGAAAGAAAAACGGAAUUUCCUUCCUAAAUUAAAAUCUAUCUGGCUCCCACGACUGCUGUUAGAAUCGAUAGAAAUUGGUUAAGAAAAUCGAUUUAGCAACAUCAACCGUAAAUUCUUCAAGAUUAUUGCUGAAGACGUAGUCGUUACAGUAACGUAACUAAAAAAAAGAUAAAAAAUAAAAAGCUCAAACAAUGUAGAGCAGAGAAAGACAAAAAUAUAAAAUCCGGCCCUUAUGUUUUUUGUGAAAAUGACAGAAUUAAAAUAAAAAAAAAACAAGCGAUCAGUUUGUAUGACAGCUAUAUGCUCCAUUAUCGGCAAAUGAGCAGCUUCAAAAAUUCACAUCGCGUGCAAAAUUACAGAUCGAUAUCUCAAAAACUGGGGCACUAGUUCGUGUAUAUAUGGAAACAGACGAACAUGGCUAAAUUGGCUCAGCUUAUCCUACCGUUCAUUUAUGCAUUUAUAUAUUUUAUAGGAUUUCCUAUGUUUUGUUAUGGAUGUCACAAAUUUUAUAUACCCUGGGUAUAUCAGGGUAUAAUUAUUGGAAUGUUUGAAAACGUUUUACCUAUUCACGAAUAACAUGAAUUCUAAAAUGCACAAGCUUUUUC
This is a long non-coding RNA of Bactrocera oleae (olive fruit fly), 802 nucleotides long. RefSeq lists it as uncharacterized. The record is from RefSeq and is a predicted model, not a curated record. Lineage: Eukaryota; Metazoa; Arthropoda; Insecta; Diptera; Tephritidae.